RNA transcript from Eucalyptus grandis, 529 nucleotides. RefSeq lists it as uncharacterized. NCBI's taxonomy places the organism in Eukaryota, Viridiplantae, Streptophyta, Magnoliopsida, Myrtales, Myrtaceae. The transcript is spliced from 3 exons. The record is from RefSeq and is a predicted model, not a curated record.
UCCACGAGAGAGCUUCUAUGAUUGCUAGGGUUUCAGCUACAAAUGUAGAGGGGGCUCGGAUUUGCUUUGCGAACCCAUCUAUGAGAGUUCCAUCUUCAUUUCUACGUAUCCCCGCAACCAAUCCUCCCAUCAUGGAGCUACACCAUGAGCCAUCGACGUUCAAUUUCAGAAAUCUCGAAGGUGGUGGGUUCCAGCUUUUUGUUGGAGGAUGGAUAUUUGAGUUUGAUCGAGCCAUGUUCGUAUUCCAUCUUGCAAACAGCCAGAAGACUCCUACAAACAAAUAGAGCCUUGGAUGGAGGGGUGGCUUUCAAGGCACAUAAAAGGAAAAGAUGUUCAGUUGAUUCUGGAGCAUGGCCGCAUAGAGGACAUAACGAAUCGGGUAUCAUAUUCCUCUUGUAAAGGUUCUCUUUGGUAGGAAGAGCAUUAUUGCAAACACUCCACAAUAGGAAUAUGAUUUUGGGAUAAGUUUGUAGUUUCCAAAUCUCAGUCCACAAUCUUUUGGGAUUAUGGUAAGAAGUUGAUGCCGAAA